CAGACUUUGAUUAUGGCUCAGGAUGAACGCUAGCUACAGGCUUAACACAUGCAAGUCGAGGGGAAACGACAUUGGAAGCUUGCUUCCGAUGGGCGUCGACCGGCGCACGGGUGAGUAACGCGUAUCCAACCUGCCCACCACUUGGGAAUAACCUUGCGAAAGUAAGACUAAUGCCCAAUGACGUUGAAAGAAGACAUCUGAUUUCAACUAAAGAUUCAUCGGUGAUGGAUGGGGAUGCGUCCGAUUAGCUUGUUGGCGGGGUAACGGCCCACCAAGGCGACGAUCGGUAGGGGUUCUGAGAGGAAGGUCCCCCACAUUGGAACUGAGACACGGUCCAAACUCCUACGGGAGGCAGCAGUGAGGAAUAUUGGUCAAUGGGCGAGAGCCUGAACCAGCCAAGUAGCGUGCAGGAUGACGGCCCUAUGGGUUGUAAACUGCUUUUAUAAGGGAAUAAAGUGGGGCUCGUGAGCUCCUUUGCAUGUACCUUAUGAAUAAGGACCGGCUAAUUCCGUGCCAGCAGCCGCGGUAAUACGGAAGGUCCGGGCGUUAUCCGGAUUUAUUGGGUUUAAAGGGAGCGUAGGCCGCAGGUUAAGCGUGUUGUGAAAUGUAGGGGCUCAACCUCUGCACUGCAGCGCGAACUGGCUUGCUUGAGUACGCACAACGUGGGCGGAAUUCGUGGUGUAGCGGUGAAAUGCUUAGAUAUCACGAAGAACUCCGAUUGCGAAGGCAGCUCACGGGAGCGCAACUGACGCUGAAGCUCGAAAGUGCGGGUAUCGAACAGGAUUAGAUACCCUGGUAGUCCGCACGGUAAACGAUGGAUGCCCGCUGUUGGCUUGAAUUAGUCAGCGGCCAAGCGAAAGCAUUAAGCAUCCCACCUGGGGAGUACGCCGGCAACGGUGCAACUCAAAUGAAUUGACGGA
Molecule: ribosomal RNA, 920 nt
Filed under: uncultured organism
Description: bacterial SSU rRNA
Rfam family: Bacterial small subunit ribosomal RNA
Source: RNAcentral